RNAcentral lists this ribosomal RNA (266 nucleotides) under uncultured Staphylococcus sp. Its description in RNAcentral is "partial 16S ribosomal RNA". It matches the Rfam family "Bacterial small subunit ribosomal RNA", at positions 96 to 354 of the family's 1533-position model. Lineage: Bacteria; Bacillati; Bacillota; Bacilli; Caryophanales; Staphylococcaceae. The record is from RNAcentral.
CGGCGGACGGGUGAGUAACACGUGGAUAACCUACCUAUAAGACUGGGAUAACUUCGGGAAACCGGAGCUAAUACCGGAUAAUAUAUUGAACCGCAUGGUUCAAUAGUGAAAGACGGUUUUGCUGUCACUUAUAGAUGGAUCCGCGCUGCAUUAGCUAGUUGGUAAGGUAACGGCUUACCAAGGCAACGGUGCGUAGCCGACCUGAGAGGGUGAUCGGCCACACUGGAACUGAGACACGGUCCAGACUCCUACGGGAGGCAGCAGAC